AGCUCAGUUUGGUAGAGCAUGGCUCUUGCAAUGCCUACAUAGUGGGUUCGAUUCCUAC
This 58-nucleotide transfer RNA is filed under the name Salmo salar (Atlantic salmon). It matches the Rfam family "tRNA", at positions 9 to 63 of the family's 71-position model. Rfam says of the family: Transfer RNA (tRNA) molecules are approximately 80 nucleotides in length. The record is from Rfam by way of RNAcentral. Lineage: Eukaryota; Metazoa; Chordata; Actinopteri; Salmoniformes; Salmonidae. RNAcentral also lists the same sequence under 1 other name.